Molecule: long non-coding RNA, 339 nt
Organism: Suricata suricatta (meerkat)
Lineage: Eukaryota; Metazoa; Chordata; Mammalia; Carnivora; Herpestidae
Exons: 3
Source: RefSeq, a predicted model, not a curated record
GAAAUGACUGGGUCCUCAGCAGGAAGGACGUUGCAAAACCAUGAUUUCUAGAUAAUGGAGAACACACACCUGGACCUGUUGUAAUGAAUUCUGUUUAUCACUCAAGAUCCUUGGCUUUGAGUUUGAUGCACUGACUGGAAGUGGUCUCAAGAUGGUCAAGCACUGGCGCCAACCAUCUGAGUCUCGUUACUAAGUAUACACUGAGGUCAGUGAGAUGUCAAUAUCAAUACCAAGUUCCUGUAACAAAGGAUUCUACAGAAAAACAAGUGAAGGGGAGGGGGAGGCUUCAAGAAUGAGGAGAGAAAUACCUGUUCACUUUAAAGUCAAAUGUUGCUGAAA